RNAcentral lists this ribosomal RNA (253 nucleotides) under uncultured bacterium. RNAcentral's name for it is "partial 16S ribosomal RNA". It matches the Rfam family "Bacterial small subunit ribosomal RNA", at positions 524 to 776 of the family's 1533-position model. The record is from RNAcentral.
CACGGGGGGAGCAAGCGUUGUUCGGAAUCACUGGGCGUAAAGGGCGUGCAGGCGGUCAGGUAAGUGGGAUGUGAAAUGCCCCGGCUCACCCGGGGACCGGCAUCUCAUACUGCUUGGCUUGAGUACGGGAGAGGAUGUGGGAAUUCCUGGUGUAGCGGUGAAAUGCGCAGAUAUCAGGAGGAACACCGGUGGCGAAGGCGGGACUCUGGGCCGAUACUGACGCUGAGGAGCGAAAGCGUGGGGAGCGAACAGG